This is an RNA transcript of Solanum lycopersicum (tomato), 2375 nucleotides long. RefSeq lists it as uncharacterized. NCBI's taxonomy places the organism in Eukaryota, Viridiplantae, Streptophyta, Magnoliopsida, Solanales, Solanaceae. The record is from RefSeq and is a predicted model, not a curated record.
AGCGUUAAUUCUUUAGUACAGUGUUCAUUAACAUAAAAGUGUUGCACCAAUAAUAACAAUAUCAAGCUAAUGAGUGUAAUCCUAAAAGUAGGGUCACGACAUAAAAAGAUAUAUGUAAUCUACUCCUAUUUUUGUAGUGUAUAGAAGUUGUUUCUGAUUUAUAAUCGGCAAUCCUCCUCCAUUAUCUUAUCUUGAGAUCGACAAUGUGAACGAACUUACAUGGAAGGAGUUAUAUAAGCAUUACACGAUUGUAGUAUCUAGUACCUCAUACUUGAUUUUUUUGUAUUAAAUAAAACUGAUUCUCACUAAUGAAUUAAACUCUUUCAUGAUGGUUGUCUUUGGAUGUUUGUUGCUGUUGCCUGAAUUUCUACAGGGUUGAGAAUCUAGAGCUACAAAUCAAGAAGGGCUCAUUGGAAUUGUGGAUUGUGGAUGCUAACAUAAGGAAAUUUUAUUUAGUAUUAAAUGUGUUUUCCUUUUUAGUUCUUCUUAAUUCUAACAUCUUGGUUGAAUAUAUGCACUUUACCUUCAACAUUCAUUUAGAUAUUAAGAUUGUAAUUCAUUAGUUCCAAAAGAAUGAUCUACUUUUCUUAUUGGUCUGUUUAAAAAAGAAUGUUUUUUUUUCUUUUUUUGGUAAUAUUUUAAUUUCAGUUUUCCACGUGACAUGUUUAAGGACACAAGAUUAAAGGUUAAUUUUUUUUGUAUUUUACAUAAUUUUAAUUUAGGACCACAACAUUCAAAAGUCUGCUUUAUUUUCUUAAAUUCUGUGUCAAGCCAAGCUAGAUCAUUCUCUGUGAAGUGAAGGAGUAGUCCAUUUUGAUUGUCUAAAUGUAGUAUACUAACAAGUUAAAGAAGUUGUAAAUAUAUGCAACCUAACAACAUGAAUUUGUACGGAUUACGAACCAGGACCAGAUCAAAAGUCUUCUCUUCAUCAACUUUCUUGGCGUGAGAGGAACUUGCAACUAUCUCUCCAAAAAAUCAAGGCUAGAAAAAUGGAAUUGGAGAAACAAGGAAACAUGGAUGUUCAAUUUGCUUCCCAACAAACAACUCUCCAACAGUUUGAUAUUAUUAAUUGGAUUAAUCCAUACAGUUCAAGUAUCCAAGGAAACAUAUGUCAAGAUCAAAUGGACAAAAGAAAGAGAAUAUCAAACUAUUUUAGCAAUUACAUAUAUACCCAUUUCUUUGCAAGUUCUUCAUGGUCUAGAAAUAUACCAUUUUCUCAAAUUCAAGACCCGUCACCUUAUAUCCCAUUUCAGAGUCAAGAGCAAAACAUGGUGGUAGAUGUCCAGCAGAACGCGACACAAACAUUUGAAAAAUCACAGGCCUAACUCGAGUACACUCGUCAUUAAGGGUACACAAUUGAACAAUCCCUCCCAAUUAGGUUUGGAAUAUGCCCAUUCAAAUUGGAAUGACAACAUUAAUAAUAAUAAUAACAACAGUCACAUCAUUCAACUGAAUGAUCAUUCUUCAGCUCAAAGCAAUGGAAUAACUUCUAAUAUUAAUGGAUUAAACUAUUCCAUGGAGAGAAUACCAUGGGAGACUAUGAAUAUCAUGUUGAAAACACACUUGAGAAUGAUGCAUGGGAAUGAGAUGGUGUUUUCCUCAAUGAAUCUUUAAAUGGAGAAGAAUUCAGAAACUUGGAUCGAUCAAUCAAUGACAAAUAAUCUCUUUUUAAUUGUCUAAUUUUUUAUAUGUGGUCCAUUUAAUAAAUCAUAGACUCUUGAUAUUUUGAUUUUUAAUUUACUUAUUUCAGUAUGUAAGACAUCAUCUUAAAUGCUUGUAGGGUGUCAUACAUAUAUUAAAGUAUGAAUAAUAAUAAGGACCUAAGAAUGUUAGAAAUAAAUUGUAUGUUGGCAACAUCAUCUGUAGUACUACUUCAUAUUAUAAAGUGCUUGAAUGGAAAAUAGAUAAAGUUCUUAUUAAUUAAACUAAGUUGCAUAAAUUCCUUUAUACUUUUGUUCAAGGUUGGAAGUUGAAUUCCACGCCUUGGCCUAUUUAAGAUGGUGACACUUAAGAAAAUUUCUGGAAAAUACUAUCAAGAUUUGCUCUGAUCUGAUCCCUCGAGUCAUGAUGACACCUGCUAUAACCGAUCAGUAGUUAAUUAAAACCAUACUCAGAAUGACUAGUAAUGAGUAAAGUGUAGAACUAGGCAUAACCAAUACUAGACAAUAUAUAUGACAAAAGCGGAAGCAAACAAAAUCUAUAUACAAUAGAAUCCCUCCAUAAACCUUGAAAUCACGAGUACAGUGUUGUCUAAUAUGAAAAAUAGAAGUCCCAAAAUCGGACCACAACAAGUCACCUCAAAGGCAGAAAAACUAGCUAUAUAUAUAUAUAGCUAUAUAUAUGUAUAGCAUGAACCAUCACCACUUGUAGUUGGU